Molecule: long non-coding RNA, 664 nt
Organism: Capsicum annuum
Lineage: Eukaryota; Viridiplantae; Streptophyta; Magnoliopsida; Solanales; Solanaceae
Exons: 2
Source: RefSeq, a predicted model, not a curated record
AAUUCUUUAAAUAUAUCUCCUAUUUUAAUGUUAAACUUUUUUUCAGGCAACACAAAUGGGUUGUGAACCAAAUUUAUGGGAGAUAUUUAAAAAGUUACACCAAAUAAAGGAUGGCAGUUUUGUGGAUGCCAAGUCGAAGAGCAUUAAUGAAAGUUUGCCUAUUUACGCUUCUCAUUCUUUAAAUCUUGAAAGAUAAAAUGGAGGUUGUCAUAGCCGCUGCUCUUUCGGGCUCAUCAGGCGAUUCAUCAAUUCAUCAGAAGAUCAAGAACUCGAAUAAAUCACAUGUACUUUGAUGUUGCGGGUGGAGCAAAAAAAUGAUGUGUGUAUGGAUUGGACUCUCAAGCUUUAACCUUGUAUAAAGAUAGUACGUGCAAUUUGCCUGUAGUGUUGGUUUCCAUUUGAGGCAACAAAGUGACGAUCGAUUCAAAUCUACGGAGGAGCAAUGGUCUUGCAUGAUGAGCGAUAUGAAAUUAUCUUCUCGUUCAUUUAGUAACCUUGCUCUUCCUAAUAGGGAAUCAUCUAAUGUUUAAGUGUUUAAUAUUUUAAGACUUAACUUACUUGAAGUGUCGACUUGAACAUUGUCACACUUUUUUGGGUAGUUAUAUGCUUUAAAUUUUAAACAUUGGUAGACUUUUGCUUAUUGAAGUUGUGACUUUUUUGGGUA